RNAcentral lists this ribosomal RNA (294 nucleotides) under Triticum aestivum (bread wheat). RNAcentral's name for it is "partial small subunit ribosomal RNA". The record is from RNAcentral. Lineage: Eukaryota; Viridiplantae; Streptophyta; Magnoliopsida; Poales; Poaceae.
AUGGGUGCCGGCCUCAUCGGCUACCUAGAUCAAACCACUGAAGAACCAUCAAAAACCCUUACCACCAAAAACGCCGAAGGGAAGGAUCAGGUUGUUGUGAACCCUACCUACUCCCAAUGGCUCAUCCAAGACCAACAAAUCCUCGCUUACCUUCUCAGAAACCUAUCCAAAGAAGUUCUCGUCCAGGUUGCCUCGCUUGAGAAAUCACAUGCGAUCUGGACAGCGCUUGGGAACAUGUUUUCGGCCAUGUCUCUCUCACGCGCCAACAACAUACGAGUCGCCCUCACCAACGCC